Molecule: ribosomal RNA, 439 nt
Filed under: uncultured bacterium
Lineage: Bacteria
Description: bacterial SSU rRNA
Rfam family: Bacterial small subunit ribosomal RNA
Source: RNAcentral
UGAACGCUGGCGGCAUGCCUAACACAUGCAAGUCGAACGCGAAAGCACCUUCGGGUGUGAGUAGAGUGGCGGACGGGUGAGUAAUACUUGGGAAUCUGCCUAGUAGUGGGGGAUAACUCGGGGAAACUCGAGCUAAUACCGCAUACGCCCUACGGGGGAAAGAUUUAUCGCUAUUAGAUGAGCCCAAGUCAGAUUAGCUAGUUGGUAGGGUAAUGGCCUACCAAGGCGACGAUCUGUAGCUGGUCUGAGAGGACGAACAGCCACACUGGGACUGAGACACGGCCCAGACUCCUACGGGAGGCAGCAGUGGGGAAUAUUGGACAAUGGGCGAAAGCCUGAUCCAGCAAUGCCGCGUGUGUGAAGAAGGCCUGCGGGUUGUAAAGCACUUUCAGUUGGGAAGAUUAUGACGUUACCAACAGAAGAAGCACCGGCUAACUCC